This 59-nucleotide transfer RNA is filed under the name Hypsugo alaschanicus (Alashanian pipistrelle). Its description in RNAcentral is "tRNA-Ser". Lineage: Eukaryota; Metazoa; Chordata; Mammalia; Chiroptera; Vespertilionidae. The record is from RNAcentral.
GAAAAAGAAUACAAGAACUGCUAAUUCAUGUAACCAUAUUUAAAAUUAUGGCUUUUUCA